Molecule: ribosomal RNA, 387 nt
Filed under: Pseudomonas sp. R9.34
Lineage: Bacteria; Pseudomonadati; Pseudomonadota; Gammaproteobacteria; Pseudomonadales; Pseudomonadaceae
Description: bacterial SSU rRNA
Rfam family: Bacterial small subunit ribosomal RNA
Source: RNAcentral
UGGUAGUGGGGGAUAACGCUCGGAAACGGACGCUAAUACCGCAUACGUCCUACGGGAGAAAGCAGGGGACCUUCGGGCCUUGCGCUAUCAGAUGAGCCUAGGUCGGAUUAGCUAGUUGGUGAGGUAAUGGCUCACCAAGGCGACGAUCCGUAACUGGUCUGAGAGGAUGAUCAGUCACACUGGAACUGAGACACGGUCCAGACUCCUACGGGAGGCAGCAGUGGGGAAUAUUGGACAAUGGGCGAAAGCCUGAUCCAGCCAUGCCGCGUGUGUGAAGAAGGUCUUCGGAUUGUAAAGCACUUUAAGUUGGGAGGAAGGGCAGUUACCUAAUACGUGAUUGUUUUGACGUUACCGACAGAAUAAGCACCGGCUAACUCUGUGCCAGCA